CUUGUCUGUCUGCAAACCUUGGCUGUUUUAUCGAAGUGCUCUAAAAUAAAUUUUUGACUGGGGGAGAAGGAACACUCCAUGCACCUUAAUCAUGACAGUGUACGGCCGACGAUGGUUAUAAUGCCUCGAGAGCCCUAUUGUCCUCUAGGUAAGUGUCAAACCACCUCCACUGUACUGACAUUUGCGUCCGUCCCUCCUCGGAUGAUGUCCUAGAAGGCAGAGUGGCCGACCCAACGUCAAGGGACACCGGAGCUGCCAUAGG
Non-coding RNA from Pelobates cultripes (western spadefoot toad), 262 nucleotides. The record is from the annotation of a GenBank genome assembly. Lineage: Eukaryota; Metazoa; Chordata; Amphibia; Anura; Pelobatidae.